AUUGAACGCUGGCGGCAUGCCUUACACAUGCAAGUCGAACGGCAGCACGGACUUCGGUCUGGUGGCGAGUGGCGAACGGGUGAGUAAUGUAUCGGAACGUACCUUUCAGUGGGGGAUAACGUAGCGAAAGUUACGCUAAUACCGCAUAUUCUGUGAGCAGGAAAGCAGGGGAUCGCAAGACCUUGCGCUGAUUGAGCGGCCGAUAUCAGAUUAGCUAGUUGGUGGGGUAAAGGCCUACCAAGGCUACGAUCUGUAGCGGGUCUGAGAGGAUGAU
This 274-nucleotide ribosomal RNA is filed under the name uncultured bacterium. RNAcentral describes it as "partial 16S ribosomal RNA". It matches the Rfam family "Bacterial small subunit ribosomal RNA", at positions 30 to 304 of the family's 1533-position model. The record is from RNAcentral.